ACCGCUUCUCAGCCUUUUGGCUAAGAUCAAGUGGACUAUCUGUUCUUAUCAGUUUAAUAAAGUGAGACAUGUUAUGCACAAAGCAAGCCUAUCUUAUCACUU
This 102-nucleotide small nuclear RNA is filed under the name Canis lupus familiaris (dog). Its description in RNAcentral is "U2 spliceosomal RNA (multiple genes)". It matches the Rfam family "U2 spliceosomal RNA". From Rfam's summary of the family: U2 is a small nuclear RNA (snRNA) component of the spliceosome (involved in pre-mRNA splicing). RNAcentral also lists the same sequence under 1 other name. The record is from Rfam by way of RNAcentral. Lineage: Eukaryota; Metazoa; Chordata; Mammalia; Carnivora; Canidae.